RNAcentral lists this ribosomal RNA (251 nucleotides) under uncultured prokaryote. RNAcentral describes it as "partial 16S rRNA". It matches the Rfam family "Bacterial small subunit ribosomal RNA", at positions 525 to 775 of the family's 1533-position model. The record is from RNAcentral.
ACAGAGGUCCCAAGCGUUGUUCGGAUUCACUGGGCGUAAAGGGUGCGUAGGUGGCGAAGUAAGUCGGAUGUGAAAUCUCCGAGCUCAACUCGGAAACUGCAUUGGAAACUACUUUGCUUGAGGGUUGGAGGGGGGACUGGAAUACUUGGUGUAGCAGUGAAAUGCGUAGAUAUCAAGUGGAACACCAGUGGCGAAGGCGAGUCCCUGGACAACUCCUGACACUGAGGCACGAAAGCUAGGGGAGCAAACAG